CCAGACUCCUACGGGAGGCAGCAGUGAGGAAUAUUGGUCAAUGGGCGGGAGCCUGAACCAGCCAAGCCGCGUGAAGGAAGAAGGCGCCAGGCGUCGUAAACUUCUUUUGUCGGGGAACAAAGGGCGCCACGUGUGGCGUUGUGAGUGUACCCGAAGAAAAAGCAUCGGCUAACUACGUGCCAGCAGCCGCGGUAAUACGUAGGUGGCAAGCGUUAUCCGGAUUUAUUGGGUGUAAAGGGCGUGUAGGCGGGAAUGCAAGUCAGAUGUGAAAACUAUGGGCUCAACCCAUAGCCUGCAUUUGAAACUGUAUUUCUUGAGUGCUGGAGAGGCAAUCGGAAUUCCGUGUGUAGCGGUGAAAUGCGUAGAUAUACGGAGGAACACCAGUGGCGAAGGCGGAUUGCUGGACAGUAACUGACGCUGAGGCGCGAAAGCGUGGGGAGCAAACAGGAUUAGAUACCCGGGUACC
This 466-nucleotide ribosomal RNA is filed under the name uncultured bacterium. RNAcentral describes it as "bacterial SSU rRNA". It matches the Rfam family "Bacterial small subunit ribosomal RNA", at positions 331 to 794 of the family's 1533-position model. The record is from RNAcentral.